Mauremys mutica (yellowpond turtle) is the source of this 270-nucleotide long non-coding RNA. RefSeq lists it as uncharacterized. The transcript has 2 exons. The record is from RefSeq and is a predicted model, not a curated record. NCBI's taxonomy places the organism in Eukaryota, Metazoa, Chordata, Testudines, Geoemydidae.
GAUUCUCAAAGAAAAGGAAGGGAUAAGAAUGGGGGACAGAUACCCCCAAAGAUGUCUCCCUUCAUCUCUAGUCAUGGCAUUGACAACACUUGAAGGAAAAAGGAAGCAUCACUGGACUGGGGAGAGAUCCUGGCCGAGAGGAAUUCAGCCAGUAAGGCUGGUAUAAGAGGAGACUUUGUUUGGAUUGAUGCCCAUGGGUACGAUCUCUUCAAAUACGCCAACCCGAAGGUCUGGGAAACAGUGAGCUCCUCCAGCACUGCUCUGGGAAAU